AAGAAAUCAUCCAACCAUUCUCUUUCCCAACCCAGCACUACACCGCCGCUGCCUCCUCUCCUCCAUCUCUGCAUGGGCGCGCACCCCCAUCCUCCCCAACCUAGUCGCCGGCUGGCCGCUGCUCCCUCUCCUCCAUCUCUGCACGGGCGCGCACCCCCAUCCUCCUCAACCUGGUCGCCGGCCAGCCCCUGCGCGACGUCGUUCAUCGAGCUAGGGUUGGAGCAGCUCGGCGGCGAUGAGGAGCAGGCCAGCCCUCUCAAGAGGGUCGUCCACACCGUUGCCGUCGGUGACUUUCAGGGGCAGUCGGCGCCUCUCCUCUCUAAUCGCGACUCCGGCGACGUCGGCCAGGACGUUCGCAAUCGGCGCAAACGUGGUGGAGAUGUAGGGCCCCUUGAGGGAGAGGUCGAUGCUGAGUUGCGCCUGUUGAAGCAUGACGGAGAGGGGGGAGGCCUUCCGGCCACCGCCGGCUCAGCCUCAGCUUAUGAUCGAGGUGCAGCUCCAGCAGCACCGGCAGUUUGCUGCGGGUCAUCAGCAGAGCGCAGUUCAUCUUCCAAAUCAUGCCCCGACCCCGGCUGCAUCUCCCCUUCCGCUACACGAACGCCUUGGGUGCGGUCUUUAGUCCUCACUGGUGAGCCCCUCCAUAUUAUUUUGUAUAGGGCUUCAGCCGCUGCUGCUUGCUUCUGUUUUAGGUGGUUGCCGCUUUGACAGGCGUUUGUGAAGCGAAUCGGGUUCGUUCUUCGGUCCGUUGAAGUGGCCGGGGAUUGUUCCGGACGUGGGACUCUGAGGCGCCCCUUCUUCGUGGGUAUUUUGCUCUGCUUUUGUUUCUUCAUUGGAUAUGCCUCCAAUUUAAGCGCGCUGGCGAUGGCAAGAAGUUCGGCGUGGAAAGCGACCAGCUGGUUCCUUUCGUGGUAUUUGACUGGCUGUGCAGUCGAGUAGUGUGACCUGACGAUUUUUUUAUUUCCGUCUUUGGUUUCCGGUUCUGAUGGUCUGGGGUGAUCUCUGCUCCCUGUGCAAUGUGAUCUUAUAAUCUACUCCCUCCGUUCCUUUUAUGUACUAAGAGAAGCAUCUGACAUGUCCGUGCUGUACCGUCCCUGUUUCUCUUCUGGUCGGCACUCUGGUUCUUUGCAUAGUGUUGUUCCGAUUUUGUAGGCUGAUUGUAACCGGAAUGAGAACCGCAGUUGUUAGGAAUACCUUUUUGUUUUUACUGAGUGAAGCUACACCAGCCUCCUCGAAUCGAUGAUCAUGUAAGCAUCUAGCAGUCUUGAAUGUCACUCUCCCUAAACAUAUUUUGUCGAAAAACACUUUCUAAAUGACUGUCGUGAAGAAAUGAUGUUCUUUCUUCAGAUCAAUUUCAUUUGCAGGUAGCUAUUGCUCUGAAUGCAUUGCAAAUUUAUACACGCUGCAUUGCUCUGUGAAUUUUUCAAACCGGAAGUGGGAAUGAUAUCACUUCUUUGGAACUGAAGUUACAAUCGUAGGUGCAGUAUUAAUAUCUAUUUUGGCAUUCAUGUACUGAGAAGAAAAGUAUAUUAUUUUUAUUUAAUGUCAGUUUUUAAAGUAAAUUAGGAGGUCCCAGUAUGGAGUGCAAACUCAUCCUAUAUCAAGUGCAUUGUGUGUGGAACUAGGCUUUCUGUAGGUUGUGUGUGUAUCUAUUUUUAGUAGUGCGUGU
Long non-coding RNA from Triticum dicoccoides, 1666 nucleotides. RefSeq lists it as uncharacterized. The transcript has 4 exons. The record is from RefSeq and is a predicted model, not a curated record. Lineage: Eukaryota; Viridiplantae; Streptophyta; Magnoliopsida; Poales; Poaceae.